GACGAACGCUGGCGGCGUGCUUAACACAUGCAAGUCGAACGGAAAGGCCCUGCUUUUGUGGGGUGCUCGAGUGGCGAACGGGUGAGUAACACGUGAGUAACCUGCCCUUGACUUUGGGAUAACUUCAGGAAACUGGGGCUAAUACCGGAUAGGAGCUCCUGCUGCAUGGUGGGGGUUGGAAAGUUUCGGCGGUUGGGGAUGGACUCGCGGCUUAUCAGCUUGUUGGGGGGGUAGUGGCUUACCAAGGCUUUGACGGGUAGCCGGCCUGAGAGGGUGACCGGCCACAUGGGGACUGAGAUGCGGCCCAGCCUCCGACGGGAGGCGGCAGUGGGGAAUAUUGCAGGAUGGGCGGAAGCCUGAUGCAGCAACGCCGCGUGCGGGAUAACGGCCUUCGGGUUGUAACCCGAUUUCGCCUGGGACGAAGCGUGAGUGACGGUAAUGGGUAAGGAGGAACCCGCUAACUCCGUG
RNAcentral lists this ribosomal RNA (468 nucleotides) under uncultured bacterium. RNAcentral describes it as "partial 16S ribosomal RNA". It matches the Rfam family "Bacterial small subunit ribosomal RNA", at positions 28 to 507 of the family's 1533-position model. The record is from RNAcentral.